This 468-nucleotide ribosomal RNA is filed under the name uncultured bacterium. RNAcentral describes it as "partial 16S ribosomal RNA". It matches the Rfam family "Bacterial small subunit ribosomal RNA", at positions 28 to 507 of the family's 1533-position model. The record is from RNAcentral.
GACGAACGCUGGCGGCGUGCUUAACACAUGCAAGUCGAACGGAAAGGCCCUGCUUUUGUGGGGUGCUUGAGUGGCGAACGGGUGAGUAACACGUGAGUAACCUGCCCUUUACUUUGGGAUAACUUCAGGAAACUGGGGCUAAUACCGGAUAGGAGCUCCUUCUGCAUGGUGGGUGUUGGAAAGUUUCGGCGGUUGGGGAUGGACUCGCGGCUUAUCAGCUUGUUGGUGGGGUAGUGGCUUACCAAGGCUUUGACGGGUAGCCGGCCUGAGAGGGUGACCGGCCACAUUGGGACUGAGAUACGGCCCAGACUCCUACGGGAGGCAGAAGUGGGGAAUAUUGCACAAUGGGCGGAAGCCUGAUGCAGCAACGCCGCGUGCGGGAUGACGGCCUUCGGGUUGUAAACCGCUUUCGCCUGUGACGAAGCGUGAGUGACGGUAAUGGGUAAAGAAGCACCGGCUAACUACGUG